CCAAAUUUAGAACGAACGAACGCUUUGACACAAGCCGAUGCGUUACCAUGAAAUAGAUAAGUUCACGUAAAUGAUGCGAAUUUGCUCGGAAAAUAUGUGUAUUGAUGGAGUAACAUGAAAGACAAAGGAUUCUAACAGCGAUGGCAAAAGAAAGUGAAUGCUUGGAGGACGGGAAUAGUCAAGAACUUCAAGACAAAACAGCAAACGCCGCUGUGACAGCACUACUCACCCUCAAUCCUGUCUAAGAACGAAAGCCUGUCUGAGAACGAGACCAUAACUAGUUUCGAGAACUGGAAGCUUACUCUACACCUUGUCUCUCAAUGCGAACUUUUCACCUUAUUUAGCCGAUGAUGCCUGUACUU
Molecule: long non-coding RNA, 362 nt
Organism: Nematostella vectensis (starlet sea anemone)
Lineage: Eukaryota; Metazoa; Cnidaria; Anthozoa; Actiniaria; Edwardsiidae
Exons: 2
Source: RefSeq, a predicted model, not a curated record